AAUAAUAAUAUCUAAAAUGUAAUAAAUAAAUGAACUCUAAUUUUAUUUCAUAUUUAUAUCAAAUAAAAAUAAAGUGUUUUAUUGUUUAGUAUGAUAACCUUACUUCAAACAUAUAAGUUGUUCUUUAUUUUAAAUAUAUUUUCUUUUAUCUAUAAUCGAUAUAAAUAUAAGAUACAAUGUUUAAACAGAAAUUUAUAGGAAAAUUUGUCAUGAUACAUUUUAAGAAUUUAGUUUCAUCUUUUUCAACACAAGAAAAAUUUAUGACAUAUUAACAACACAUUUAAAACUUGAUUAUAAUAUCAUUAAAAAAAAUGAUAAAAUUGAAAAAAAUAAUUUAAUUAAUAAAAUACCAAUACAAAGAGUUAUUCAAAAUUGUAAUAUUAUAAAGAACACGAAUGUAAAGAUAGAAAAAAUUGAUUAUUUGAUACAAUGCUUGGCACUUGAGCCUAUAGUUAUGAAAAACAGAAUUUUUAUACUUAAGGAAUUAGGUAUAAAUUCUGUGGAACUGUUUCAUAUUUACCGAUUUCCAGCAUUAAUGAGAAAAAAAGUAAAAACAUUUAAAAAAAUACAUAAUAUACCUGCUACACAAAAUAUUAUGAAAAUUAUAUUUUUUAAUAUAGAAACAAAUAUAAAAAUUGAUCAUAUUACUAAAAAUUUAAUGAAACUUGAAGAUCAUAUGAAAAUAGGCAAUUAUUAUCAAAUGUGUAUGUCAUAUUAUAAAACAUAUUAUUUAAAACUAAAUAAUCAAUCAUUUUUUAAAAAUAAUAGGAUGAAAUAUCGAAGUUUUACAGAAAUGUCCAAAUUAAUAUAUAUAUUGAAACAUAUAUUUAAAUUUGAU
Apis florea (little honeybee) is the source of this 838-nucleotide long non-coding RNA. Lineage: Eukaryota; Metazoa; Arthropoda; Insecta; Hymenoptera; Apidae. The record is from RefSeq and is a predicted model, not a curated record.